AGUAAAGUCAGCUAAACAAGCUAUUGGGCCCAUAUCCCAAAAAUGCCCCCCGGCCUUUACUA
This 62-nucleotide transfer RNA is filed under the name Python bivittatus (Burmese python). Its description in RNAcentral is "tRNA-Met". The record is from RNAcentral. Lineage: Eukaryota; Metazoa; Chordata; Lepidosauria; Squamata; Pythonidae.